AAGGAAAAUAGAGGAGUAAAUUGAGAAAGUUAAUUGAAAUUAUUUAUGUUGAGAAAAAAAGUGAUUAAUAGUUGGCAUGAUUUCGGGUGGCCGUGUGCGUAGGAACCGCCGGAGGCUGUGCUCCGAAUACUUCUCUCCUUCCUCUUCGUUCUCCAACACUCCCAUUUUACGGUGUGCUUUGUUCACUCUGACGUCAGGAUUGAUCAUAAUGUUUCUGGUGAGUUGAAACACGCACAUACUUGUCACAAAUCCCAU
RNAcentral lists this unclassified non-coding RNA (255 nucleotides) under Hevea brasiliensis (rubber tree). Lineage: Eukaryota; Viridiplantae; Streptophyta; Magnoliopsida; Malpighiales; Euphorbiaceae. The record is from RNAcentral.